UACAGAGGUCUCAAGCGUUGUUCGGAUUCAUUGGGCGUAAAGGGUGCGUAGGCGGCGCGGUAAGUCGGGUGUGAAAUCUCGGAGCUUAACUCCGAAACUGCAUUCGAUACUGCCGUGCUUGAGGACUGGAGAGGAGACUGGAAUUUACGGUGUAGCGGUGAAAUGCGUAGAUAUCGUAAGGAAGACCAGUGGCGAAGGCGGGUCUCUGGACAGUCCCUGACGCUGAGGCACGAAGGCCAGGGGAGCAAACGGG
Molecule: ribosomal RNA, 253 nt
Filed under: uncultured bacterium
Lineage: Bacteria
Description: partial 16S ribosomal RNA
Rfam family: Bacterial small subunit ribosomal RNA
Source: RNAcentral